Molecule: ribosomal RNA, 445 nt
Filed under: uncultured bacterium
Lineage: Bacteria
Description: partial 16S ribosomal RNA
Rfam family: Bacterial small subunit ribosomal RNA
Source: RNAcentral
UACCAGACUCCUACGGGAGGCAGCAGUAAGGGAUAUUGGUCAAUGGGGGAAACCCUGAACCAGCAACGCCGCGUGAGGGAAGACGGUUUUCGGAUUGUAAACCUCUGUCCUCUGUGAAGAUGAUGACGGUAGCAGAGGAGGAAGCUCCGGCUAACUACGUGCCAGCAGCCGCGGUAAUACGUAGGGAGCGAGCGUUGUCCGGAUUUACUGGGUGUAAAGGGUGCGUAGGCGGCUUGGCAAGUCAGUAGUGAAAUCCAUGGGCUUAACCCAUGAACUGCUAUUGAAACUGUCGAGCUUGAGUGAAGUAGAGGUAGGCGGAAUUCCUAGUGUAGCGGUGAAAUGCGUAGAUAUUAGGAGGAACACCGGCGGCGAAGGCGGCCUGCUGGACCGUAACUGACGUUGAGGCUCGAAAGCGUGGGGAGCAAACAGGAUUAGAUACCCAGUA